AUGGAUUAUUUAAGUGAUUUUCUUUCUGGGAAGAAGCUUCACUUGCCAAAUUUCCGUGACUCUUUGAAGGAGCGUGGAAUGGUACAGAUGUUGACUAUUGGGAGGGAGGCAGCACUUGAAGUUCAGUCACUUGUAAGAGUGCUAGAAUCAUGUGCUGGCUGCAAACAGAGCUACUCACUGAUCAUGUUCCAGGAUUUGUUGGUGUCCACAACUCUUUCUCCUGAUGACCUGAUUAACCUAUUCACGUACACUGUCAUGAGGUUGACCCCAAAUGCUCUGUCUGCUGGAGCUAGCUCCUGGUCCUAUUUACGCAAAGGAAGUAGUACUUCUAAUGCUUCCGCGUCUUUAUCGACAAGCUCUAACUCUGUUCUGAACCGGUACAACAACUCACAGGAUACUUCUCCAGUUGGAGUUCGUAGCUAUCAGGUUGUUAGGCCCUUACAGCAUGAGAAAUGGUCCAAAGGGAAGGAUGCUUUCCUUGUUACUGAUAUUUGGGGCACAGAAGUUGGCAGCUCGAGUCCUAGCAGUCCAACAAUUUGGCUCAAGCAAACAGAGGAGAGGAUGUAUCUUUGUGCUUUUCAGCAUAAGAGCCUCACCAUAAUACUUCUCAUUCCUGUCACAUCUGUACACAAUGGGGAGCAAGGGUUGUCAGUGGUGAAGCAGCAAAUUCUGGAGAAUGCCUCACCGAAGAUAUUCAAAGUUGAAGAGAAACUAUCCCGAGGAUGGGGUGGCGAGAACGCAUAUCAUGUGAGUGGUUACCGCUAUUUACUUGUGGAUGGUGAUAAAUACAUCUCUCGGGCUUCCCCGCCUGGAAAAGUAACAACGCUUACGAAGGAUUCUUUAGUUUCAAUGAGUAAGCUUCGAGAAGAGGUUGACUUAGAAAAGAGCAGAGCUAAAUGUGAUGUCUCUGGCUGCGAGAAAGACCAAGAAAUAUGCAUUAGAGCAAAAAAUGGUGCUUGGGUGAUUUCUCGGCUGACGCGAGGGAAGGAACUUUAUAUGGUACUUGAGAAAGCCAAUGAAACCCUUCUUUACGCUUCUGAGGCUGUUGAAAAGUUCAGUGACAGGUAUUGCAGUGGCGUUUUUUCUUUGUAAUAGAACUGGGUAGCCAAUUCUUUGUUUUGCAGAGAGACAGAAAGCUAUAGCUAUCAUUUUGUUGUUAGUCCAAAUGUGUGUACUGUUUUGUAAGUAAAUAAACUUCACUUGUAUAAUGAUGCAUUUUUUUGCCCUGUAAUUUAAAG
This 1238-nucleotide unclassified non-coding RNA is filed under the name Hevea brasiliensis (rubber tree). Lineage: Eukaryota; Viridiplantae; Streptophyta; Magnoliopsida; Malpighiales; Euphorbiaceae. The record is from RNAcentral.